GUCGAGAAUCUUUCGCAAUGCCCGAAAGGGUGACGAAGCGACGCCGCGUGCGGGAAGAAGGCCUUCGGGUUGUAAACCGCUGUCGGGAGUUAAGAAAUGUAAGGAUGUUAAUAGCAUCUUUGCUUGACUAAGGCUCCGGAGGAAGCCACGGCUAACUCUGUGCCAGCAGCCGCGGUAAUACAGAGGCGGCAAGCGUUGUUCGGAAUUAUUGGGCGUAAAGAGCACGUAGGCGGCUAUGUAAGUCGGUUGUGAAAGCCUUCCGCUCAACGGGAGAACAGCAUCCGAUACUGCAUGGCUUGAGUGCGGGAGGGGAGAGUGGAACUUCUGGUGGAGCGGUGAAAUGCGUAGAUAUCAGAAGGAACGCCGGCGGCGAAAGCGGCUCUCUGGCCCAUAACUGACGCUGAGUGUGCGAAAGCUAGGGGAGCAAACGGGAUUAGAAACCCUGGUAGUCC
This 452-nucleotide ribosomal RNA is filed under the name uncultured bacterium. RNAcentral describes it as "bacterial SSU rRNA". It matches the Rfam family "Bacterial small subunit ribosomal RNA", at positions 354 to 796 of the family's 1533-position model. The record is from RNAcentral.